CAGCAGCCACGGGAAUACAGAGGGUGCGAGCGUUAAUCGGAUUUACUGGGCGUAAAGCGUGUGUAGGUUGUUGUUCAAGUCAGUUGUGAAAUCCCUGGGCUCAACCUGGGAACUGCUUCUGAGACUGAACGACUAGAGUACGGUAGAGGGUGGUGGAAUUUCCGGUGUAGCGGUGAAAUGCGUAGAUAUCGGAAGGAACAUCAAUGGCGAAGGCAGCCACCUGGGCCUGUACUGACACUGAGACACGAAAGCGUGGGGAUCAAACAGGAUUAGAUACCCCGGUAGUCCCUGUCUCUUAUAU
This 301-nucleotide ribosomal RNA is filed under the name uncultured bacterium. RNAcentral's name for it is "partial 16S ribosomal RNA". It matches the Rfam family "Bacterial small subunit ribosomal RNA", at positions 509 to 809 of the family's 1533-position model. The record is from RNAcentral.